CAGUAAGACAGCAGUUUUCUGGUCACACUCUCCAGAAGGUCAACAUCUCCGUGUCAUCUUGUGCCACACAAACAGCGAGGUGUUUCUCAGCAGGACUGACUUCCAUAGAUCACAUCUGGAUGCACCCAGGGAGGAAUGGGGCAGGAUGCAGGAACAGCAGAUGAAGGUAUUACUGUUACUAACAACAGUAUGGUACAGUUGCCCCAGUGUACACUGGAGACAGCACAGUAUGAUCACCCAAGAUCUCACCUCUCACAGUUAUGAAAGCUGAAUGCUUCAGAAAGCACAGAAUGCAAAAACAAUCUGAACAGGUUUUGCCUUCAGAUACUUCAUGAUAAGGAUGCCUUCGAUGUUUCCUGAUGAAGAAAUGAAGACAAAGUAUGACUUCUCACUCCA
Long non-coding RNA from Columba livia (rock pigeon), 396 nucleotides. RefSeq lists it as uncharacterized. The record is from RefSeq and is a predicted model, not a curated record. The transcript has 4 exons. NCBI's taxonomy places the organism in Eukaryota, Metazoa, Chordata, Aves, Columbiformes, Columbidae.